Molecule: ribosomal RNA, 468 nt
Filed under: uncultured bacterium
Lineage: Bacteria
Description: partial 16S ribosomal RNA
Rfam family: Bacterial small subunit ribosomal RNA
Source: RNAcentral
GACGAACGCUGGCGGCGUGCUUAACACAUGCAAGUCGAACGGAAAGGCCCUGCUUUUGUGGGGUGCUCGAGUGGCGAACGGGUGAGUAACACGUGAGUAACCUGCCCUUGACUUUGGGAUAACUUCAGGAAACUGGGGCUAAUACCGGAUAGGAGCUCCUGCUGCAUGGUGGGGGUUGGAAAGUUUCGGCGGCUGGGGAUGGACUCGCGGCUUAUCAGCUUGUUGGUGGGGUAGUGGCUUACCAAGGCUUUGACGGGUAGCCGGCCUGAGAGGGUGACCGGCCACAUUGGGACUGAGAUACGGCCCAGACUCCUACGGGAGGCAGCAGUGGGGAAUAUUGCACAAUGGGCGGAAGCCUGAUGCAGCAACGCCGCGUGCGGGAUGACGGCCUUCGGGUUGUAAACCGCUUUCGCCUGCGACGAAGCGUGAGUGACGGUAAUGGGUAAAGAAGCACCGGCUAACUACGUG